Molecule: transfer RNA, 72 nt
Filed under: Stegodyphus mimosarum
Lineage: Eukaryota; Metazoa; Arthropoda; Arachnida; Araneae; Eresidae
Rfam family: tRNA
About the family: Transfer RNA (tRNA) molecules are approximately 80 nucleotides in length. Their secondary structure includes four short double-helical elements and three loops (D, anti-codon, and T loops).
Source: Rfam by way of RNAcentral
GCCUUCGUGGUGUAACAGUUAGCGCACUCGGCUCGUAUUCGAGAGGUCCAGGAUCGAGUCCCGGCGAGGGCA